This 443-nucleotide ribosomal RNA is filed under the name uncultured bacterium. RNAcentral describes it as "partial 16S ribosomal RNA". It matches the Rfam family "Bacterial small subunit ribosomal RNA", at positions 338 to 795 of the family's 1533-position model. The record is from RNAcentral.
CCUACGGGUGGCUGCAGUGGGGGAUAUUGGUCAAUGGGGGCAACCCUGAUCCAGCGACGCCGCGUGAGUGAUGACUUAUCUCGGUAUGUAAAGCUCUUUCACCAGAGAAGUAAGAAAUGACGGUACCUGAGUUCUAAGCCCCGGCUAACUACGUGCCAGCAGCCGCGGUAAUACGUAGGGGGCAAGCGUUCUCCGGAAUUACUGGGUGUAAAGGGAGCGUAGACGGGAAUGGAAGUCUGGAGUGAAAGGCGGGGGCCCAACCCCCGGACUUCUCUGGAUACUGUGUGACUGGAGUACAGGAGAGGUAGGCGGAAUUCGUGGUGUAGCGGUGAAAUGCGUAGAUAUUAGGAAGAACACCGAUGGCGAAGGCAGCCUGCUAAACUGUAACUGACGUUGAGGCUCGAAAGCGUGGGGAGCAAACAGGAUUAGAUACCCCUGUAGUC